UACCCGCAGCUCAAGUGGUGGUCAUUAUUAUUGGGCCUAAAGCGUCCAUAGCAGGCUUGUUAGAUGCCUGGGUAAAUCGAUGCGCUUAACGCAUCGAAUUCCGGGUAGACCGGCAAGCUCGAGACCGGGAGAGGCGUGAGCUACUCGAGGGGUAGGGGUAAAAUCCUGUAAUCCUUCGGGGAGGACCAGUGGCGAAGGCGUCACGCUAGAACGGCUCUGACUGUGAGGGACGAAGCCCUGGGGCGCAAACCGG
Molecule: ribosomal RNA, 253 nt
Filed under: uncultured bacterium
Lineage: Bacteria
Description: partial 16S ribosomal RNA
Rfam family: Archaeal small subunit ribosomal RNA
Source: RNAcentral